This 88-nucleotide transfer RNA is filed under the name Niallia circulans. RNAcentral's name for it is "Bacillus circulans tRNA-Trp". It matches the Rfam family "tRNA". From Rfam's summary of the family: Transfer RNA (tRNA) molecules are approximately 80 nucleotides in length. The record is from RNAcentral. Lineage: Bacteria; Bacillati; Bacillota; Bacilli; Caryophanales; Bacillaceae.
GGACUUGUAGCUCAAAGAUAGAGCAACCGAGUUGUUCCAACCGAGAAGCAGCUUGUGUAUCUUGCGGGUUCAAAUCCCGCCAAGUCCG